This 206-nucleotide ribosomal RNA is filed under the name uncultured bacterium. RNAcentral's name for it is "partial 16S ribosomal RNA". It matches the Rfam family "Bacterial small subunit ribosomal RNA", at positions 28 to 232 of the family's 1533-position model. The record is from RNAcentral.
GACGAACGCUGGCGGCGUGCUUAACACAUGCAAGUCGAGCGGUAAGGCCCUUUCGGGGGUACGACGAGCGGCGAACGGGUGAGUAACACGUGGGUGGACCUGCCCUCAGCUCUGGGAUAAGCCUGGGAAACCGGGGUCUAAUACCGGAUAUGACUCCAUGACGCAUGUUGUGGGGUGGAAAGCCUUGUGCGGCUGAGGAUGGGCCC